CCUACGGGAGGCAGCAGUGGGGAAUAUUGGGCAAUGGGCGCAAGCCUGACCCAGCAACGCCGCGUGAAGGAAGAAGGCUCUCGGGUUGUAAACUUCUUUUGUCAGGGAAGAGUAGAAGACGGUACCUGACGAAUAAGCCACGGCUAACUACGUGCCAGCAGCAGCGGUAAUACGUAGGUGGCAAGCGUUGUCCGGAUUUACUGGGUGUAAAGGGCGUGUAGCCGGGUUGACAAGUCAGAUGUGAAAUUCUGCGGCUUAACCGCAGAACUGCAUUUGAAACUGUUGAUCUUGAGUACUGGAGAGGCAGGCGGAAUUCGUGGUGUAGCGGUGAAAUGCGUAGAUAUUAGGAGGAACACCGGUGGCGAAGGCGGUCUGCUGGAGAGCAACUGACGGUGAGGCGCGAAGGCGUGGGGAGCGAACAGGAUUAGAUACCCGGGUAGUC
RNAcentral lists this ribosomal RNA (442 nucleotides) under uncultured bacterium. RNAcentral's name for it is "partial 16S ribosomal RNA". It matches the Rfam family "Bacterial small subunit ribosomal RNA", at positions 338 to 795 of the family's 1533-position model. The record is from RNAcentral.